UACAGAGAGCGCGCCCAAGCC
This 21-nucleotide non-coding RNA is filed under the name Caenorhabditis elegans. The record is from RNAcentral. Lineage: Eukaryota; Metazoa; Nematoda; Chromadorea; Rhabditida; Rhabditidae.